GACGAACGCUGGCGGCGUGCCUAACACAUGCAAGUCGAGCGAGUGGAGUUCUUCGGAACAAAGCUAGCGGCGGACGGGUGAGUAACACGUGGGCAACCUGCCUCAUAGAGGGGAAUAGCCUCCCGAAAGGGAGAUUAAUACCGCAUAAGAUUGUAGCUUCGCAUGAAGUAGCAAUUAAAGGAGUAAUCCGCUAUGAGAUGGGCCCGCGGCGCAUUAGCUAGUUGGUGAGGUAACGGCUCACCAAGGCGACGAUGCGUAGCCGACCUGAGAGGGUGAUCGGCCACAUUGGGACUGAGACACGGCCCAGACUCCUACGGGAGGCAGCAGUGGGGAAUAUUGCACAAUGGGGGAAACCCUGAUGCAGCAACGCCGCGUGAGUGAUGACGGCCUUCGGGUUGUAAAGCUCUGUCUUCAGGGACGAUAAUGACGG
This 430-nucleotide ribosomal RNA is filed under the name uncultured bacterium. RNAcentral describes it as "bacterial SSU rRNA". It matches the Rfam family "Bacterial small subunit ribosomal RNA", at positions 28 to 457 of the family's 1533-position model. The record is from RNAcentral.